CGUUGUUCAGCCGGCUGCCUGGCGUUGGCGUGUCUACCCUGAUCCCUGGACGGUGUGGCGCGUCAGUGUCUUGCAGACGGUCUAUUCGGCGCAGCAGCGCUGAGACCAGUGGUGCUGUGGGAGAAACUUGCUGUAGAGCACUCGCCUUGGUGAGAGAGCUGCAGUUGGGGAUGCCUAUUGGCGCUACUGGAAAGUGGCCUGGCCUGUGUGGCCUGUGAGUUGCGUUGGAGUUGUGCGAUUGCUGACUGUGGUGAACACGUUCGCCUCGGUUGUGGUUGUGCUUCUUUCUGGGUGAUUCAAAGGCUUGAUCUCAGUGUUAAAGUCAGUCACCUACCUGACCCGUCUUGAAACACGGACCAAGGAGUCUAACAUGUGCGCAAGUUUGAAGGUGUCAGCAAACUUGACAGCGCAAUGAAAGUGAAAGUCGAUCAAUCGGCUGAUAUGCGAUCCCCCCCUUAAUUGGGGAGGAGCAGCAUAGUCCGGUCCUGUCUGCUUGUCAGUGGGGCUGAGACAGAGCGUACACGUUGGGACCCGAAAGAUGGUGAAUCUAUGCCUGAGCAGGACGAAGCCAGAG
RNAcentral lists this ribosomal RNA (574 nucleotides) under Paralinhomoeus sp. NRR-2010. RNAcentral describes it as "eukaryotic LSU rRNA". It matches the Rfam family "Eukaryotic large subunit ribosomal RNA", at positions 596 to 857 of the family's 3401-position model. Lineage: Eukaryota; Metazoa; Nematoda; Chromadorea; Monhysterida; Linhomoeidae. The record is from RNAcentral.